UUUCUUUAUAGUCUGCUCACACCCUGUGCAGGAGUCAGUUGCAGUCAGCACACAGCAUGGACAUGAGGGCCCCUGCUCAGCUCCUGGGGCUCCUUCUGCUCUGGCUCCCAGGUGCCAGAUGUGACAUCCUAAUGACUCAGUCUCCAUCCUACUUGUCUGCAUCAGUAGGAGACAGAGUCUCCAUCACUUGCAGAGCCAGUCAGGGCAUUGGUACUAAUUUACAUUGGUAUCAGCAGAAACCAAGGAAAGCUCCUAAACUUUUGAUUUAUUGGGCAAACAACUUGCAAUCCGGGGUCCCAUCCAGGUUCAGUGGCAGUGGAUCUGGGACAGAGUUCACGCUCACCAUAAGCAGCCUUCAGUCUGAAGACUUUGCAACUUAUUACUGUCAACAGGGUAGUAGUUUUCCUCCCACAGUGAUACAAGCCAUAACAUAAACCUCCCAGGGAGGC
This is a non-coding RNA of Dipodomys spectabilis (banner-tailed kangaroo rat), 449 nucleotides long. NCBI's taxonomy places the organism in Eukaryota, Metazoa, Chordata, Mammalia, Rodentia, Heteromyidae. The record is from the annotation of a RefSeq genome assembly.